GAUGAACGCUGGCGGCGUGCCUAAUACAUGCAAGUCGAGCGAACGGACGAGAAGCUUGCUUCUCUUAUGUUAGCGGCGGACGGGUGAGUAACACGUGGAUAACCUACCUAUAAGACUGGGAUAACUUCGGGAAACCGGAGCUAAUACCGGAUAAUAUUUUGAACCGCAUGGUUCAAAAGUUAAAGACGGUCUUGCUGUCACUUAUAGAUGGACCCGCGCUGCAUUAGCUAGUUGGUAAGGUGACGGCUUACCAAAGCAACGAUGCAUAGCCGACCUGAGAGGAGGAUCGGCCAAACUGGAACUGAGACAAGAUACAGACUCCUACGGGAGGCAGGAGUAGGGAAUCUUACACAAUGGGAGAAAGGCUGAAGGAGCAACGCCGCGUGAGUGAUGAAGGUCUUCGGAUCGUAAAACUAUGUUAUUAGGGAAGAACAUAUGUGUAAGUAACUGUGCACAUCUUGACGGUACCUAAUCAGAAAGCCACGGCUAACUACGUG
RNAcentral lists this ribosomal RNA (497 nucleotides) under uncultured bacterium. RNAcentral describes it as "partial 16S ribosomal RNA". It matches the Rfam family "Bacterial small subunit ribosomal RNA", at positions 28 to 507 of the family's 1533-position model. The record is from RNAcentral.